This 617-nucleotide ribosomal RNA is filed under the name uncultured bacterium. RNAcentral describes it as "bacterial SSU rRNA". The stretch from base 1 to 519 matches the Rfam family "Bacterial small subunit ribosomal RNA", at positions 338 to 873 of the family's 1533-position model. The record is from RNAcentral.
CCUACGGGAGGCAGCAGUGGGGAAUCUUGCGCAAUGGGCGAAAGCCUGACGCAGCCAUGCCGCGUGAAUGAUGAAGGUCUUAGGAUUGUAAAAUUCUUUCACCGGGGACGAUAAUGACGGUACCCGGAGAAGAAGCCCCGGCUAACUUCGUGCCAGCAGCCGCGGUAAUACGAAGGGGGCUAGCGUUGCUCGGAAUUACUGGGCGUAAAGGGAGCGUAGGCGGAUAGUUUAGUCAGAGGUGAAAGCCCAGGGCUCAACCUUGGAAUUGCCUUUGAUACUGGCUAUCUUGAGUAUGGGAGAGGUUAGCGGAACUCCGAGUGUAGAGGUGAAAUUCGUAGAUAUUCGGAAGAACACCAGUGGCGAAGGCGGCUAACUGGCCCAUUACUGACGCUGAGGCUCGAAAGCGUGGGGAGCAAACAGGAUUAGAUACCCUGGUAGUCCACGCCGUAAACGAUGAGUGCUAGUUGUCGGCAUGCAUGCAUGUCGGUGACGCAGCUACGACAUUAAGACACCUCCGCCGUCGGGGAGGUACGGGUCGGCGAAGAAGUUAAAACGUUAAAAGGUAAAGUUAGUUACGGACGUGAGACGUAGCCGACGGACGACGACGAGGGAGGAGG